UACGUAGGGGGCGAGCGUUGUCCGGAAUUAUUGGGCGUAAAGAGCGUGUAGGCGGUUCGGUAAGUCUGCCGUGAAAACCCAGGGCUCAACCCUGGGCGUGCGGUGGAUACUGCCGGGCUAGAGGGUGGUAGAGGCGAGUGGAAUUCCCGGUGUAGCGGUGAAAUGCGCAGAUAUCAGGAAGAACACCCGUGGCGAAAGCGGCUCUCUGGGCCGGUACUGACGCUGAGGAGCGAAAGCGUGGGGAGCGAACAGG
RNAcentral lists this ribosomal RNA (253 nucleotides) under uncultured bacterium. Its description in RNAcentral is "partial 16S ribosomal RNA". It matches the Rfam family "Bacterial small subunit ribosomal RNA", at positions 524 to 776 of the family's 1533-position model. The record is from RNAcentral.